Molecule: ribosomal RNA, 497 nt
Filed under: uncultured bacterium
Lineage: Bacteria
Description: partial 16S ribosomal RNA
Rfam family: Bacterial small subunit ribosomal RNA
Source: RNAcentral
GAUGAACGCUGGCGGCGUGCCUAAUACAUGCAAGUCGAGCGAACAGACGAGGAGCUUGCUCCUCUGACGUUAGCGGCGGACGGGUGAGUAACACGUGGAUAACCUACCUAUAAGACUGGGAUAACUUCGGGAAACCGGAGCUAAUACCGGAUAACAUGUUGAACCGCAUGGUUCAACAGUGAAAGACGGUCUUGCUGUCACUUAUAGAUGGAUCCGCGCCGCAUUAGCUAGUUGGUAAGGUAACGGCUUACCAAGGCAACGAUGCGUAGCCGACCUGAGAGGGUGAUCGGCCACACUGGAACUGAGACACGGUCCAGACUCCUACGGGAGGCAGCAGUAGGGAAUCUUCCGCAAUGGGCGAAAGCCUGACGGAGCAACGCCGCGUGAGUGAAGAAGGUCUUCGGAUCGUAAAACUCUGUUAUUAGGGAAGAACAAAUGUUUAAGUAACUAUGCACGUCUUGACGGUACCUAAUCAGAAAGCCACGGCUAACUACGUG